Molecule: ribosomal RNA, 277 nt
Filed under: Candidatus Omnitrophota bacterium
Lineage: Bacteria; Pseudomonadati; Candidatus Omnitrophota
Description: partial 16S ribosomal RNA
Rfam family: Bacterial small subunit ribosomal RNA
Source: RNAcentral
UCCUCUGAGGGUUUGAUCCUGGCUCAGGGUGAACGCUGGCGGCGUGCCUAACACAUGCAAGUCGUGCGACGAACUUGGAAGGUUUUAUUUUCGGAUAGAACUUUCCGGGGGAAAGCGGCGGACGGGUGAGUAACACUUGAGUAACCUCCCCCUUGGACUGGGAUAAUUCGCCGAAAGGCGAACUAAUACCAGAUAACCUUUUUCAGUGGACGCACAGGAAAAGAAAAGGUCUGUGAAUAACAGACUGCCGAGGGAUGGGCUCGAGUCCUAUCAGCUA